This 45-nucleotide non-coding RNA is filed under the name Schistosoma bovis. Lineage: Eukaryota; Metazoa; Platyhelminthes; Trematoda; Strigeidida; Schistosomatidae. RNAcentral also lists the same sequence under 2 other names. The record is from RNAcentral.
AUCCAGCUGACGAGUCUCAAAUAGGACGAAACGAGCUUCCUGGGU